This 206-nucleotide ribosomal RNA is filed under the name uncultured bacterium. RNAcentral describes it as "partial 16S ribosomal RNA". It matches the Rfam family "Bacterial small subunit ribosomal RNA", at positions 568 to 774 of the family's 1533-position model. The record is from RNAcentral.
UGCGUAGGCUGUGCAGAAAGUUGGGUGUGAAAUACCUCGGCUUAACCGAGGAAUUGCGCCCAAAACUACUGUGCUCGAGGAAGAUAGAGGUGAGCGGAACUUAGGGUGGAGCGGUGAAAUGCGUUGAUAUCCUAAGGAACACCGGUGGCGAAAGCGGCUCACUGGAUCUUAUCUGACGCUGAGGCACGAAAGCCAGGUAGCAAACG